AAUUAAGCUACUAAGGGCACACGGCGGAUGCCUUGGCGCCAAGAGCCGAUGAAGGGCGUGGUUGACUGCGAUAAGCCUCGGGGAGCCGUCAGCAGGCGCUAUAUCCGAGGAUUCCCGAAUGGGGUAACCCACCUGGGCCAUACCCAGGUACCCCCAACUGAACACAUAGGUUGGGUGGAGGGAACGAGGGGAACUGAAACAUCUCAGUACCCUCAGGAAAAGAGAGCAUUCCCCGAGUAGUGGCGAGCGAAAGGGGAGUAGCCCAAACUCACCCCGCGUAUAGGUUGCAGCCGUUGCGUGGUGGGGGUUGUAAGGCGCGGCGGGGCUGCUGCAACAGCCCAGAGAAGUUACAAAACCAUUCCUGAGUCGAAAGGUUCAGGAAAGGCCUACCGUAGAGGGUGAUAGUCCCGUAGGCGAAAGGAAUGGACUUCUGCCGCUGACCUUGAGUACCGCGGGGCACGCUAAUCCUGCGGGAAGCAGGGAGGCCCACCUCCCAAGGCUAAAUACUCUUGGCGACCGAUAGUGAACCAGUACCGUGAGGGAAAGGUGAAAAGAACCGGGGUGACCGGAGUGAAAUAGAACCUGAAACCGUGUGCUUACAAACAGUGGGAGGGCUAUGCCGCCUAGUGCGGAACGCCUGACCGCGUGCCUUUUGGAGAAUGAUCCGGCGAGUUAAUCCGUGUGGCAAGGUUAAGGGGGUGACACCCGGAGCCGCAGCGAAAGCGAGUCUGAACAGGGCGCUCAGUCGCAUGGAUUAGACCCGAAACCGGGUGAGCUACCUAUGGACAGGGUGAAGCGAAGGUAAAACUUCGUGGAGGCCCGAACCUACCAAUGUUGCAAAAUUGGGGGAUGAGCCGUGGGUAGGGGUGAUAUGCCAAACGAACCCGGAGAUAGCUGGUUCUCCCCGAAAUAGCUUUAGGGCUAGCCUCAGGGGUUCAGUAGCGGAGGUAGAGCACUGAAUUGGCUAGGGGGCGUAGAGCUUACCAAACCAAAUCAAACUCCGAAUGCCGCUACUUCAUACCCUGGGAGUCGGACGGUGGGAGAUGAUUUUCAUCGUCGAGAGGGAAACAGCCCAGACCGCCGGCUAAGGUCCCGGAAUCCAGGCUAAGUGUUAAAGGAUGUGGGGUUACUCAGACAGCCAGGAGGUUGGCUUAGAAGCAGCCACCCUUUAAAGAGUGCGUAAUAGCUCACUGGUCGAGUGGUCCUGCGCCGACAAUAUAUCGGGGCUCAAGCCUGGUACCGAAGCCGCGGGUCUCGACCUCGAGUCGAGACGGUAGGGGAGCGUUCUGUACUCGCUGAGAAGCCAGACCGUGAGGACUGGUGGAGCGUACAGAAGUGCGAAUGCCGGAAUGAGUAGCGUAAAACACGUGAGAACCGUGUUCGCCGUAAGUCUAAGGUUUCCUACGCAAGGUUUUUCCGCGUAGGGUUAGUCGGGCCUAAGCCGAGGCCGACAGGCGUAGGCGAUGGACAACGGGUCAACAUUCCCGUACCACCUCGGAGGAGCUAAGGGGGGACGCAGGGUGGUAGGUCAGCCUCUUAUUGGAUUGAGGUGCUAAGCCUGUAGGGAGAUGAAGGGGGUUGGUAAAUCCGCUCCCAGAUCCUGAGGGGUGAUGGCGGUGCUUCAAGCCAGAAGUGACUGAGCCACACUGCCGAGAAAAACCUCUAUGCGUUGAGUCCGGGGUGCCCGUACCGCAAACCGACACUGGUAGACGGGUAGAGUAUACCAAGGCGAUCGGGAGAACCCUCGCUAAGGAACUAGGCAAAAUGACUCCGUAACUUCGGGAGAAGGAGUGCCCCGUUAGGGUGAAGCAAAUCUUGCGGAGCCCGAGGGGGUCGCAGAGAAAUGGCCCUGCCGACUGGUUAACAAAACCACAGGUCUCUGCCAAAGCGUAAGCUGACGUAUAGGGGCUGACGCCUGCCCAGUGCCGGAAGGUUAAAGGGAAGGGUUAGCCGCAAGGCGAAGCUCUGAACUGAAGCCCCGGUGAACGGCGGCCGUAACUAUAACGGUCCUAAGGUAGCGAAAUUCCUCGUCGGGUAAGUUCCGACCCGCACGAACGGCGUAACGAGUGGGGCGCUGUCUCAGCGAGGGACCCGGCGAAAUUGAAAUAGGCGUGAAGAUGCGUCUUACCCGCAGCAGGACAAAAAGACCCCGUGGAGCUUUACUGCAUCUUGGUAUUGAGUUGGGAUUUGGUCUGUGUAGGAUAGCUGGGAGACUGUGAAACUGGGGCGCCAGCCUCGGUGGAGUCGCCCUUGAAAUACCAGCCUGAUCAAGUUUCGACCCUAACUCGUGACCGUGACCCGGCACGAGGACAGUGCCAGGUGGGCAGUUUGACUGGGGCGGUCGCCUCCGAAAGGGUAACGGAGGCGCCCAAAGGUUCCCUCAGGCUGAAUGGAAACCAGCCAGAGAGUGCAAAGGCAUAAGGGAGCUUGACUGCAAGACCUACAAGUCGAGCAGAGACGAAAGUCGGGCUUAGUGAUCCCACGGUACCGGGUGGAAGGGCCGUGGCUUACCGGAUAAAAGCUACCCCGGGGAUAACAGGGUAGUCUUGCCCAAGAGUUCACAUCGACGGCAAGGUUCGCCACCUCGAUGUCGGCUCGUCACAUCCUGGGGCUGGACAAGGUCCCAAGGGUUCGGCUGUUCUCCGAUUAAAGUGGCACGCGAGCUGGGUUCAGACCGUCGUGAGACAGGUCGGUCUCUAUCCGCUGCGGGCGUAGGUGACUUGAGAGGAGCUGCUCCCAGUACGAGAGGACCGGAGUGGACAGACCGCUGGUGUGCCGGUUGUACCGCCAGGUGCAUCGCCGGGUAGCCAUGUCUGGCAAGGAUAACCGCUGAAUGCAUCUAAGUGGGAAGCCUGCCUCAAGAUUAGGUCACCCAUCUCCUCGUGAGAGUAAGACCCCUGGCAGACCACCAGGUUGAUAGGCGGCACGUGUAAGCACCGCAAGGUGUUCAGCUAAGCCGUACUAAUGGUCGAGGGCUUAAUUCC
Molecule: ribosomal RNA, 2984 nt
Filed under: Chloroflexota bacterium
Lineage: Bacteria; Bacillati; Chloroflexota
Description: Chloroflexi bacterium (oil production facility metagenome) 23S ribosomal RNA
Rfam family: Bacterial large subunit ribosomal RNA
Source: RNAcentral